GUAGGUGAACCUGCGGAAGGAGCACUGCUCUUGCAGCCCGUCUUCCUCCAGCAAUCCCUAGUAAAUCAUGGCAAACAGUUUGAUUUAGGGACUUCUGAGUCACGAGAAAUUAUAGUUGCAAUUGUAGCGGUAGUGCAAGCGCCUUAGCUUUUCCUAGGCCUUUGAUGAAUUGGAAAGUGUCAUCAGAGAUACCGAAGAAAAGGCCCCACGGCUUCACUGGAGGACAUUACGUCCGGUGACUAGGUGCUCG
This 250-nucleotide unclassified non-coding RNA is filed under the name plant metagenome. RNAcentral's name for it is "partial contains small subunit ribosomal RNA, internal transcribed spacer 1, and 5.8S ribosomal RNA". The record is from RNAcentral.